AAGUCGUAACAAGGUAACCGUAGGUGAACCUGCGGUUGGAUCAUUAAUAAAUAGAGUUUUGAACUCGCACUGAUUCACUUUCGGGUGAAUUGGUAAACCCCUGUGCAUUGUUUGUUUCCUUCGGGAAAUCUCUACUUUUUAUACUGACUGAAUCAAUAGAUUUAAAUUAAAAAACAACUUUUAACAACGGAUCUCUUGGCUCUC
RNAcentral lists this unclassified non-coding RNA (204 nucleotides) under fungal sp. RNAcentral describes it as "partial internal transcribed spacer region". The stretch from base 1 to 46 matches the Rfam family "Eukaryotic small subunit ribosomal RNA", at positions 1786 to 1831 of the family's 1831-position model. The record is from RNAcentral. Lineage: Eukaryota; Fungi.